GUUUGUUUGUUUGUUUGUUUGUUUGUGACGGUGUCUCGCUCUGUUUCCAGGCUGGAGUCCAGUGGCGCAAUCUCGGCUCACUGCAACCUCCGCCUCCCAAGUUCAAGCAAUUCCCCUGCCUCAGCCUCCGGAGUAGCUGGGACUAUAGGCGCGUACUACUACGCCCCGCUAAUUUUUUGUAUUUUAGCAGAGACGGGGUUUCACCAUGUUGGCCAGGAUGGUCUCGAUCUCCUGACUUCGUGAUCUGCCCGCCUCGGCCUCCCAAAGUGCUGGGAUUACAGGUGUGAGCAACCGCGCCCAGCCAAUUCGAGGAGUUUUUUAAAGAAUUACAGAAUCACAAAAACCCUAGAAGUCAUCCGGAAGGGAAGAAGAGAAUGCGAAAGAACAGAAGAGUA
Molecule: long non-coding RNA, 395 nt
Filed under: Homo sapiens (human)
Lineage: Eukaryota; Metazoa; Chordata; Mammalia; Primates; Hominidae
Description: HSALNT0323576
Source: RNAcentral